RNAcentral lists this ribosomal RNA (484 nucleotides) under uncultured bacterium. RNAcentral's name for it is "partial 16S ribosomal RNA". It matches the Rfam family "Bacterial small subunit ribosomal RNA", at positions 30 to 507 of the family's 1533-position model. The record is from RNAcentral.
AUUGAACGCUGGCGGCAGGCCUAACACAUGCAAGUCGAGCGGAUGAAGGGAGCUUGCUCCUGGAUUCAGCGGCGGACGGGUGAGUAAUGCCUAGGAAUCUGCCUGGUAGUGGGGGAUAACGUCCGGAAACGGGCGCUAAUACCGCAUACGUCCUGAUGGAGAAAGUGGGGGAUCUUCGGACCUCACGCUAUCAGAUGAGCCUAGGCCGGAUUAGCUAGUUGGUGGGGUAAAGGCCUGCCAAGGCGACGAUCCGUAACUGGUCUGAGAGGAUGAUCAGUCACACUGGAACUGAGACACGGUCCAGACUCCUACGGGAGGCAGCAGUGGGGAAUAUUGGGCAAUGGGCGAAAGCCUGAUCCAGCCAUGCCGCGUGUGUGAAGAAGGUCUUCGGAUUGUAAAGCACUUUAAGUUGGGAGGAAGGGCAGUAAGUUAAUACCUUGCUGUUUUGACGGUACCAACAGAAUAAGCACCGGCUAACUUCGUG